This 322-nucleotide ribosomal RNA is filed under the name uncultured eukaryote. RNAcentral describes it as "partial 18S ribosomal RNA". It matches the Rfam family "Eukaryotic small subunit ribosomal RNA", at positions 1470 to 1796 of the family's 1831-position model. The record is from RNAcentral.
CCCUUAGAUGUUCUGGGCCGCACGCGUGCUACACUGAGUGGAUCAGCGGGUCAGGUUGCGCGAAAGCGUUUCCUAAUCUUUAAAUCCGCUCGUGAUGGGGAUUGACGGUUGCAAUUUUCUGUCAUGAACGAGGAAUACCUUGUAAGCGCGGGUCAUCAUCCCGCGCUGAAUACGUCCCUGCCCUUUGUACACACCGCCCGUCGCUCCUACCGAUUGGGUGUGCUGGUGAAGCCUCGGGAUUGUGGUUCUUGCCGCUUUAUUGUGGCGUGACCGCGAGAACUUGUCUAAACCUUAUCAUCUAGAGGAAGGUGAAGUCGUAACA